GUAGUUGAAGAAAAAUGGUGACAGUAAAGGGUACAAGUCACGUCACCCAAAGUGACUUGCCUUCUAUUAUCCCGUCUGCGGCCCUGCGAUUUCUGGGCGUAGACCCGCAAGCUUUGGAUGUUGGCAAAACAAUAGACAUUAACAGAACUCUCAUAGCCACUUUCAUAUCGAAAUAUUUUGAACUUGGCAAAGAAUCGGUGACUCGAAAAUAUUGACAGAGGAUUCCGAACACGUGAUCAUAGGAAGCAAUGUUGAAGUUUAAUCUAAAAUUACUCACAAUAAUGAUAUCAUAAAAAUGACUACUGUAUGUAUUCAUACGAAUAAGAAAUUUCAUAUAUGCUAAA
This is a long non-coding RNA of Xenia sp. Carnegie-2017, 344 nucleotides long. RefSeq lists it as uncharacterized. The transcript has 3 exons. NCBI's taxonomy places the organism in Eukaryota, Metazoa, Cnidaria, Anthozoa, Malacalcyonacea, Xeniidae. The record is from RefSeq and is a predicted model, not a curated record.